Molecule: ribosomal RNA, 229 nt
Filed under: uncultured bacterium
Lineage: Bacteria
Description: partial 16S ribosomal RNA
Rfam family: Bacterial small subunit ribosomal RNA
Source: RNAcentral
CUCAAAAACUUAGUCUCAGUUCGGAUUGUAGGCUGAAACUCGCCUACAUGAAGCUGGAGUUGCUGUAAUCGCGAAUCAGCAUGUCGCGGUGAAUACGUUCCCGGGCCUUGUACACACCGCCCAUCACACCAUGAGAGUUGGCAAUACCCAACGUACGUGAUCUAACCCGCAAGGGAGGAAGCGUCCUAAGGUAGGGUCAGCGAUUGGGGUGAAGUCGUAACAAGGUAUC